UAAUUUGUAAAAUAAAGGAGAGCUGAUGA
RNAcentral lists this non-coding RNA (29 nucleotides) under Mus musculus (house mouse). Lineage: Eukaryota; Metazoa; Chordata; Mammalia; Rodentia; Muridae. The record is from RNAcentral.